Long non-coding RNA from Mytilus californianus (California mussel), 3277 nucleotides. RefSeq lists it as uncharacterized. The record is from RefSeq and is a predicted model, not a curated record. The transcript is spliced from 6 exons. NCBI's taxonomy places the organism in Eukaryota, Metazoa, Mollusca, Bivalvia, Mytilida, Mytilidae.
GUAGUUGAUCUGUAGUCGUCUCUGGUGGAGUUUGUGGCGAGACAAAAAUUCAACAACUUGCAAAGAAAUACAUGUAGAGAAACUAUGCUCAAAAUUACCUCAUUCUGUGUUGCUUUUAAAAUUUUCAAUUCAUGCUGCCUUUACAAAUUAUCAAAUUUUUGCUUCACCACAUUCUGUCCUCUAAUCAGGUUUUGGUCACAGUCCCCUCACACAUCACACACCAUAUCUGUUUGUUGUCUGGUUUAUUGGUUGGUCCAUCAGUUGGUCCCUAGUCACCAAAGGCAUCCAUCUUGCUGCACCAUUUCCAUGUGUCUGUUUGGUUGGUUGGUCGUAGCAUCAGUUGGUUAGUUGGAACACCAUGUACCAUCUUGAAUUCUCUAAUUUUGAGUUGGUUCAGUGGUUUAUCAUCAGCAUGGCUUCUUUUGAGUAGUUGAUCUGUAGUCGUCUCUGGUUGAGUUUGUGAUGAGACAAAAAUUCAACAACUUGCAAAGAAAAACAUGUAUAGAAACUAUGCUAAAAAUUACCUCAUUCUGUGUUGCUUUUUAAAUUUUCAAUUCAUGCUGCCUUUACAAAUUAUCAAAUUUUUGCUUCACCACAUUCUGUCCUCUAAUCAGGUUUUGGUCACAGUCCCCUCACACAUCACACACCAUAUCUGUUUGUUGUCUGGUUUAUUGGUUGGUCCAUCAGUUGGUCCCUAGUCACCAAAGGCAUCCAUCUUGCUGCACCAUUUCCAUGUGUCUGUUUGGUUGCUUGGUCGUAGCAUCAGUUGGUUAGUUGGAACACCAUGUACCAUCUUGAAUUCUCUAAUUUUGAGUUGGUUCAGUGGUUUAUCAUCAGCAUGGCUUCUUUUGAGUAGUUGAUCUGUAGUCGUCUCUGGUUGAGUUUGUGAUGAGACAAAAAUUCAACAACUUGCAAAGAAAUACAUGUAAAGAAACUAUGCUAAAAAUUACCUCAUUCUGUGUUGCUUUUUAAAUUUUCAAUUCAUGCUGCCUUUACAAAUUAUCAAAUUUUUGCUUCACCACAUUCUGUCCUCUAAUCAGGUUUUGGUCACAGUCCCCUCACACAUCACACACCAUAUCUGUUUGUUGUCUAGUUUAUUGGUUGGUCCAUCAGUUGGUCCCUAGUCACCAAAGGCAUCCAUCUUGUUGCACCAUUUCCAUAAGUCUGUUUGGUUGGUUGGUCAUAGCAUCAGUUGGUCAGUUGGAACACCAUGUACCAUCUUGAAUUCUCUAAUUUUGAGUUGGUUCAGUGGUUUAUCAUCAGCAUGGCUUUCUUUGAGUAGUUGAUCUGUAGCCGUCUCUGGUGGAUUUUGUGGCGAGACAAAAAUUCAACAACUUGCAAAGAAAUACAUGUAAAGAAACUAUGCUAAAAAUUACAUCAUUCUGUAUUGCAUUUUAAAUUUUCAAUUCAUGCUGCCUUUACAAAUUAUUAAAUUUUUGCUUCACCACGUUCUGUCCUCUAAUCAGGUUUUGGUCACAGUCCCCUCACACAUCACACACCAUAUCUGUUUGUUGUCUGGUUUAUCGGUUGGUCCCUAGUCACCAAAGGCAUCCAUCUUGCUGCACCGUUUCCAUGUGUCUGUUUGGUUGGUUGGUUGUAGCAUCAGUUGGUCAGUUGGAACACCAUGUACCAUCUUAAAUUCUCUAAUUUUGAGUUGGUUCAGUGGUUGAUCGUCAGCAUGGCUUCUUUUGAGUAGUUGAUCUGUAGUCGUCUCUGAUGGAGUUUGUGGUGAGACAAAAAUUCAACAACUUGCAAAGAAAUACAUGUAAAGAAACUAUGCUAAAAAUUACCUCAUUCUGUGUUGCUUUUUAAAUUUUCAAUUCAUGCUGCUUUUACAAAUUAUCAAAUUUUUGCUUCACCACAUUCUGUCCUCUAAUCAGGUUUUGGUCACAGUCCCCUCACACAUCACACACCAUAUCUGUUUGUUGUCUAGUUUAUUGGUUGGUCCAUCAGUUGGUCCCUAGUCACCAAAGGCAUCCAUCUUGCUGUACCAUUUUCAUAAGUCUGUUUGGUUGGUUGGUCAUAGCAUCAGUUGGUUAGUUGGAACACCAUGUACCAUCUUGAAUUCUCUAAUUUUGAGUUGGUUCAGUGGUUUAUCAUCAGCAUGGCUUUCUUUGAGUAGUUGAUCUGUAGCCGUCUCUGGUGGAUUUUGUGGUGAGACAAAAAUUCAACAACUUGCAAAGAAAUACAUGUAAAGAAACUAUGCUAAAAAUUACAUCAUUCUGUAUUGCAUUUUAAAUUUUCAAUUCAUGCUGCCUUUACAAAUUAUUAAAUUUUUGCUUCACCACGUUCUGUCCUCUAAUCAGGUUUUGGUCACAGUCCCCUCACACAUCACACACCAUAUCUGUUUGUUGUCUGGUUUAUCUGUUGGUCCCUAGUCACCAAAGGCAUCCAUCUUGCUGCACUGUUUCCAUGUGUGUGUUUGGUUGGUUGGUUGUAGCAUCAGUUGGUCAGUUGGAACACCAUGUACCAUCUUAAAUUCUCUAAUUUUGAGUUGGUUCAGUGCUUGCUAGUCAGCAUGGCUUCUUUUGAGUAGUUGAUCUGUAGUUGUCUCUGGUUGAGUUUGUGGCGAGAUAAAAAUUCAACAACUUGCAAAGAAAAACAUGUAUAGAAACUAUGCUAAAAAUUACCUCAUUCUGUGUUGCUUUUUAAAUUUUCAAUUCAUGCUGCCUUUACAAAUUAUCAAAUUUUUGCUUCACCACAUUCUGUCCUCUAAUCAGGUUUUGGUCACAGUCCCCUCACACAUCACACACCAUAUCUGUUUGUUGUCUAGUUUAUUGGUUGGUCCAUCAGUUGGUCCCUAGUCACCAAAGGCAUCCAUCUUGCUGCACCAUUUCCAUAAGUUUGGUUGGUUGGUUGGUCAUAGCAUCAGUUGGUCAGUUGGAACACCAUGUACCAUCUUGAAUUCUCUAAUUUUGAGUUGGUUCAGUGGUUUAUCAUCAGCAUGGCUUUCUUUGAGUAGUUGAUCUGUAGCCGUCUCUGGUGGAUUUUGUGGCGAGACAAAAAUUCAACAACUUGCAAAGAAAUACAUGUAAAGAAACUAUGCUAAAAAUUACAUCAUUCUGUAUUGCAUUUUAAAUUUUCAAUUCAUGCUGCCUUUACAAAUUAUUAAAUUUUUGCUUCACCACGUUCUGUCCUCUAAUCAGGUUUUGGUCACAGUCCCCUCACACAUCACACACCAUAUCUGUUUGUUGUCUAGUUUAUUGGUUGGUCCAUCAGUUGGUCCCUAGUCACCAAAGGCAUCCAUCUUGCUGUACCAUUUUCAUAAGUCUGUUUG